GACGAACGCUGGCGGCGUGCUUAACACAUGCAAGUCGAGCGGUAAGGCCCUUUCGGGGGUACACGAGCGGCGAACGGGUGAGUAACACGUGGGUGACCUGCCCUCAGCUCUGGGAUAAGCCUGGGAAACUGGGUCUAAUACCGGAUAUGACUCCAUGACGCAUGUUGUGGGGUGGAAAGCCUUGUGCGGCUGAGGAUGGGCCCGCGGCCUAUCAGCUUGUUGGUGGGGUGAUGGCCUACCAAGGCGACGACGGGUAGCCGGCCUGAGAGGGCGACCGGCCACACUGGGACUGAGACACGGCCCAGACUCCUACGGGAGGGCAGCAGUGGGGGAAUCUUGCGCAAUGGGCGAAAGCCUGACGCAGCGACGCCGCGUGAGGGAUGAC
This 385-nucleotide ribosomal RNA is filed under the name uncultured bacterium. RNAcentral describes it as "bacterial SSU rRNA". It matches the Rfam family "Bacterial small subunit ribosomal RNA", at positions 28 to 412 of the family's 1533-position model. The record is from RNAcentral.